Acanthosepion pharaonis is the source of this 106-nucleotide non-coding RNA. Lineage: Eukaryota; Metazoa; Mollusca; Cephalopoda; Sepiida; Sepiidae. The record is from the annotation of a GenBank genome assembly.
UAUGUGACUUCGAACACCGGUUCUCGUACGGUCACCGAAGUUAAACAACGUCUGGUCUGGGCAGCACCUAGAUGGGGGACCGCUUGGGAAUACAAGGUGCUGUAAG